Molecule: ribosomal RNA, 301 nt
Filed under: uncultured bacterium
Lineage: Bacteria
Description: partial 16S ribosomal RNA
Rfam family: Bacterial small subunit ribosomal RNA
Source: RNAcentral
CAGCCGCCGCGGUAAUACGGAGGGUGCAAGCGUUAAUCGGAAUUACUGGGCGUAAAGCGCACGCAGGCGGUCUGACAAGUCAGAUGUGAAAUCCCCGGGCUUAACCUGGGAACUGCAUUUGAAACUGUCAGGCUGGAGUCUUGUAGAGGGGGGUGGAAUUCCAGGUGUAGCGGUGAAAUGCGUAGAGAUCUGGAGGAAUACCGGUGGCGAAGGCGGCCCCCUGGACAAAGACUGACGCUCAGGUGCGAAAGCGUGGGGAGCAAACAGGAUUAGAUACCCGCGUAGUCCCUGUCUCUUAUAA